GCGGAGGAUCAUUCAUAAUAAGUGUUUUAUGGCACUUUUUAAAUCCAUAUCCACCUUGUGUGCAAUGUCAGUCGUUCUCUUUUUUGAGAGCGACCAAACAUCAACUUAUUCUUUAACUCUUUGUCUGAAAAAUAUUAUGAAUAAAAUAAUUCAAAAUACAACUUUCAACAACGGAUCUCUUGGCUCUCGCAUCGAUGAAGAACGCAGCGAAAUGCGAUACGUAAUGUGAAUUGCAGAAUUCAGUGAAUCAUCGAAUCUUUGAACGCAUAUUGCGCUCUUUGGUAUUCCGAAGAGCAUGCUUGUUUGAGUAUCAGUAAACACCUCAAAGACUUCAAUUUGUUUUGAAUGGCUUUGGACUUGAGCAAUCCCAACACCAGUCUUUACGAUCGGUGGAGGGUUGCUUGAAAUGCAGGUGCAGCUGGACAUUCUCCUGAGCUAAAAGCAUAUUUAUUUAGUCCCGUCAAACGGAUUAUUACUUUUGCUGCAGCUAACAUAAAGGGAGUUUGACCGUAUUGGCUGACUGAUGCAGGAUUUCACAAGGGUCGGCAACGAUUCUUGUAAAACUCGAUCUCAAAUCAAGUAAGACUACCCGCUGAACUUAAGCAUAUCA
RNAcentral lists this ribosomal RNA (610 nucleotides) under Mortierella sp. nwa_ca_0101g. RNAcentral's name for it is "eukaryotic LSU rRNA". The stretch from base 160 to 313 matches the Rfam family "5.8S ribosomal RNA". Lineage: Eukaryota; Fungi; Mortierellomycota; Mortierellomycetes; Mortierellales; Mortierellaceae. The record is from RNAcentral.